UUCCAGACUCCUACGGGAGGCAGCAGUGGGGAAUAUUGCACAGUGGGGGAAACCCUGAUGCAGCGACGCCGCGUGAAGGAAGAAGUAUUUCGGUAUGUAAACUUCUAUCAGCAGGGAAGAAAAUGACGGUACCUGACUAAGAAGCCCCGGCUAACUACGUGCCAGCAGCCGCGGUAAUACGUAGGGGGCAAGCGUUAUCCGGAUUUACUGGGUGUAAAGGGAGCGUAGGCGGUAAUGCAAGUCAGGAGUGAAAGCCCGAGGCUCAACUCCGGGACUGCUUUUGAAACUGUGUUACUAGAUUGCAGGAGAGGUAAGUGGAAUUCCUAGUGUAGCGGUGAAAUGCGUAGAUAUUAGGAGGAACACCAGUGGCGAAGGCGGCUUACUGGACUGUAAAUGACGCUGAGGCUCGAAAGCGUGGGGAGCAAACAGGAUUAGAUACCCUUGUA
This 446-nucleotide ribosomal RNA is filed under the name uncultured bacterium. Its description in RNAcentral is "bacterial SSU rRNA". It matches the Rfam family "Bacterial small subunit ribosomal RNA", at positions 329 to 792 of the family's 1533-position model. The record is from RNAcentral.